GGGACCAUGAUGGAAUUGGUAGACAUUGCAGACUUAAAAUCUGUUGACCGUUAGGUCGUGAGGGUUCAAGUCCCUCUGGUCCUA
RNAcentral lists this transfer RNA (84 nucleotides) under Synechococcus phage S-CAM9. It matches the Rfam family "tRNA". Rfam says of the family: Transfer RNA (tRNA) molecules are approximately 80 nucleotides in length. RNAcentral also lists the same sequence under 2 other names. Lineage: Duplodnaviria; Heunggongvirae; Uroviricota; Caudoviricetes; Pantevenvirales; Kyanoviridae. The record is from Rfam by way of RNAcentral.